CGAUGAUUAUUGAAUGCACGACAAUGAUAUGAAAAUGAUGAAGUUAGAUUUGACGGUUUAAUUACCCAAGUUUGAGGUAAUUGAAUGUUUCGGCCCAGAGUUUCGGCUACUGUGGCUUGAAGUAAAAUUUUGGAACGUCCUGCAAUUUUGUGGGACAACAA
RNAcentral lists this unclassified non-coding RNA (161 nucleotides) under Loa loa (African eye worm). RNAcentral's name for it is "partial miscellaneous RNA". The stretch from base 55 to 159 matches the Rfam family "SL1 RNA". Lineage: Eukaryota; Metazoa; Nematoda; Chromadorea; Rhabditida; Onchocercidae. The record is from RNAcentral.